UUGAGUGAAAUUUACCAGCAAAGUUCCUUUAAAUCUGAUGGAUUCUACAGAUUAAAUUAGAGGCUUUAUGUUAUGAUUGCAUCUGCUGAAGACUUUUUGUUGAUGUCAGAAGCUCCUCCUCUGGUCACAGUUUUGCUUUCAUUUAGUUUCUGCUUUCGGUUUAAAGCUUCUUCGCUGUAAACUCUCAUAAAAAACAUAUUUUAACCAGGAGAUGGAUCCUUUUCAUUGUUGGUUCCUCUGGAGGUCAGACCACCAGGAUCAUUUUAAAGGUUUCUUUAAUUAUGGAGUUUAUAUUUCAGUUAAUGAGGACAGUGGAGCUGGAAUCCGGUUGAACAGGUUUAGAUAUAAAUACAAACUGGAUGAUGAUGAUGAUGAUGGAUUUCCAAAGAAAUUCCAGAAUUGAACUUCCCAUAAAUCCGACUAUUUACUGUAACUGAACAUCUUUCUCCUCUCUGCGGUUUGGAUCAUUUAUUUUAGUGAUCAGGUCCAAAAUGUAUUUUCUCUUUCCACAGAUUCUCAAUCAGAUCAAAUAAAAUGUCUUUAAAUCUU
Long non-coding RNA from Xiphophorus hellerii (green swordtail), 549 nucleotides. RefSeq lists it as uncharacterized. Lineage: Eukaryota; Metazoa; Chordata; Actinopteri; Cyprinodontiformes; Poeciliidae. The record is from RefSeq and is a predicted model, not a curated record. The transcript is spliced from 2 exons.